AAGCACGUGCGUCUACGUCAUUUCCUGUUAUUCUCCUCGCUUAGUCCUCCGUCCUCCGUGGGUUUGCUCGGGACCGGCGUUUGGGGCGUGCCCGCUUCCUCUCUGUCAGAAUUUUACACCUGAAGAGGGGAUGAGCUGUGUAAAGUCUCCAGUAAAUGUCCUGAGAAAUCGCAUAAAGGCAAGGUUAUCAAGCACAUACACUCAGGGCCCACCUCACCACCGACUCCAGCAGUGAGAUGAGCUUGUUUAAGUUUGCCAUGAGACCCAGGGAGGUGAAGCCGCUGGAUGAGCUGGUGAGUGACAGGUUUGGAUCUCAAAACCCUCCUCUUCCUAAAGCAUGAUGCCUUCAGCAAAGGAGAGCCGGAAGGAGCAAAAUGACCAUGGGAGAGGAGUACCAGCUUUGCUAGAAGGAGUAAGAGCUGAAGAAGAGUUGAAGGAGUAGAGGCCCCAAGUGGGAGCACUUGAACAGGGCAGGCUUGUGAGGCCUAUGGUGAGAGCCUGUGGCUGGAUCUGCUCCUGAGAUUUGGGGGCGUGGCCACCGGGACUCCAGAGAUGUGGGCCCUUGGGCAAAUCAUGGCACUCCCUGAGUCUCAGUCUCCCCAUUUGCAGGAUGGAAAUAACUACCCCCUCUGCCAACUAGAAGAUUGGUGCUGUGGUGCCUCUGAUGCUGCCUUGGGAUCUUCGAAGGGCAGGGCAAGCCUUUCAGCCAGGUUUACUUACUCCAGUUUGAAAAACUUACCAGCCUAAUUUGGUGUGGGAGCAGAGGUUCCCAGCCCUGGUGGCACAUCACAGUCACCUGGGAGUAUUAUAAAAUGUCAGUGUCAGGGCCCCUCCCUGAAGACCCACUGAAUCAGAAUUUCUAGGGGCUAGGGCCAAGGGAUCAGCAUUUCACAAAGCUCCCCCGAUGAUUCUGAGGUGCGGCCCCUGAUGCAGAGUCUGAGAGAAGAAUCAUCUGGGAUUCUUGACGAAAAUACAGGUUACCACACUCUCCCCCGGACAUUCUGGGACUUGUAUGUUUAACAAGUGCCACGGGUGAUUCUUAGGAAAUGGCAAGGUUGGGAAACACAGAGGGAGAGGAAAGGUCCCUGGAUUGGAGUCAGCAAAGACAAUGCUCCUGCUGCGAGACCUCAAAGGUCACUUAGCCUCUCAGAUUCAUUUCUUCAUCUGUAAAAUGGGGAGGACGGUAAUUGCAUGGGGCAGAGAUGGAUAAAUGCCCCAGAAGUCUGCAUAGCUAGUCUAUAGGACGGUUCUUGUUGGAAACUGGCUGCCACAGGUCAGAAACUACAUUUCCCAGCUCUCCUUUGCAUUUUGGUGAGGUGGCCACAGGACUGAGUUCUGACCAGUGGAACAAGGACAUAACUAAGGAGGGCUGCUACCCAUUAAAACCUCCCACAAGGUCCUCUGCUCUCUUCACUGUGUGCCCGUUGGAUCGCAAUGCCUGGGUGAUCUUGGAAGCCACAUGGGAAGGUUGACAGAGAACUCCCUGCCCUUGCCCCCACCUACUGCUAAUUGGACUUUAUGUGAGUGAAAAAUAAACUGUGUAAAGCCACUGUGGUUUCUCUCUUACAGUAGCUAGUGCUAUGUUAACUAACAUACCGCCCCUAGGAUUGUGGCAAAAAUUAUCUCAUGCAGAGGCUGCAAAGUGACAAUGUGAGGGCUUAGAUCCAACCCACAAGUAUGUUUUGUUAUUUCUGUGCAAGCCAGUUUUUUUUUUCUUAACACAUCAUAAAAUGAGAGAUUUCACGUGAACAUCUGGAUCUCCAGGUUCUUGAAAACCUGGAAUAGCUGGCAGCCAAGCUUGCAGUCCACUCUGGGAGUGACUGACCGGGACAAGGAGCAGCCGGCUGUACAUUAGGUGGCACACAUGCUCUCCUGAUCCACCAUGCUCCCCACCACACCCUUAUGGCAUUUCUGGGGCCCCUGUAGCUUCCUGAGCCCACAGGCCCUCAGGUGGUGGAUGUAGACAUUAGAUGUGUUCACUCUUAGGAUUUUUCACGGCAAGUUUCUUCGGGCAACUUCUAACUCCCAGGAGAACCAUUCAUCCUGCCCCAAACUUGGAAACAAAAUCUCCCGAGUGAUCCUUCCAGGCUGAAGGAUGUCCUCCACCCCCACCGCAGCCCACCCAUGGCCGUGGCCCGUUCGGCCUCUGCUAUCUGUGG
Molecule: long non-coding RNA, 2159 nt
Organism: Ailuropoda melanoleuca (giant panda)
Lineage: Eukaryota; Metazoa; Chordata; Mammalia; Carnivora; Ursidae
Exons: 4
Source: RefSeq, a predicted model, not a curated record